Long non-coding RNA from Anas platyrhynchos (mallard), 1585 nucleotides. RefSeq lists it as uncharacterized. The record is from RefSeq and is a predicted model, not a curated record. NCBI's taxonomy places the organism in Eukaryota, Metazoa, Chordata, Aves, Anseriformes, Anatidae.
AUAAGAAACACAAAGAGUAACUGCUGACGAAGGAGAUGAAGUGUUGGUAAACCCACUUUCCCUCAGAAGAAGGGUCAUAAAGGGUUGAUUGACUCUCCAGAAGGAAGGAAUGCUUCUAAAAAUCUUUUUGAAAAAUUGAAAUAAAAGCAGAAGCUGUUUCAGAAUCUCACACCUCAGAAUGCAUCCUUCAUCCUGAACGCUACAAAAAGAAAGAGGUGAAAAUUCAAGUUGUUUUCCGUAACAAGAACUGAGAAAGAUACCAAGAAAAUUCAGAAGAGAGAUACAACCUCAGUGUGGAUGUUGAUGAAUACAGGCAGAAUUUAUGCGUACCCGAUGCAAUGCCUACAGUUGAUCAUGGGUUCCUGUUCCUUGAGAUCUUUCCUGCUCCUGGAGGAAGUCUGAAUGGUUUCUUCUGCUACUUUGUUGCUAGCUAUUCUGCCUUUUAACCAUUUUUUUCCCCUCGUUGUGCUUAGUACUCACAAGUCCUCAAGCCUUUCAGCCUUUCACUCAUAUUCACAUUUCUGUCUUUGAGCCUUGGUCCUUUGCAUCCUGUUUGCUCCUGCCACCUUUGUCAGAUGGGUCUGGAAAUGACGGAGCUCUAAAAGAGUGGUUUGUCUUUUGUUUUGUUGUGUUUUCUGCAGACUGCUCAAUCAAAUAAGUUACAAAAUACAAGAGAGAAGGACAGCAUUUUCACCAAUGCAAGCAGUCAAUCCAAAAGAUUGCUUAGGGUCCCAAAAAAUUUUUAAGAAGCUUUGAGAAUCGAUAAACAAUUCAUUACUUGGAUUUCAAUGGUAUGUUCCCUGUUUAAGAUCUUCUUUCUGUGCAACUAAUACAAAUAAUUGUAUUAUUAUGGCAAUAAUACAAUUUUAUACAGUAAUACAAUAAUAAAAUUAUGCCAUUUUAUACAAUAAUAAAAUAUUGUGUAAUCAUAUUUGCUUUAUUAUGACAAUAAUACAAAUAAUUGUUUUAUUGCAUUACUGGUAGGAAAAAGAAAUGUAAUUUUGUUGAUAAACUGAACAGAGAGGAAAGAUAGCAAAGAAGUUAGGCUGCUAACCUCGGAUUUGGGAAAUCUGAGUCCAAAUAUUUUUUAGGCUUGAGGUCUUCAUGGGCUUCUGAGUGAAUAAUGGAUUUUAUCUCUCCUUGCACUAUGAAAGGAGUGAGGUGGUUUCCUUUCCUCAUAGAAGUGUUGUAAGAAUGUUGUAAGUGCUCUGUCACUACAUAAGUGCUGCACUGUAAGUGCCUAUACAGAUUUAUUACUCUUAUGCUAAAGACCUAAGAGCAUUCUGGUAGCAUUAAACACACAUAUUCAAUAUCUUUAUUUAACUUAUACUCUUCUCUUUCACACAGUAGUUGUGUUUUCAUAUCCCCCCAUGCAUAAUUACAGAAAUAUUACAAUAUCUGAUGGGAUGGAAAAGGCACAGGUUCCUUCAGCACUAGAAAUGACAUUAGAGUGAUGUAGAUUUAUUUUGGUUUUAAAUAGUACUGUCGAUUCUAUAGCUAAGAAGAAUGUUUUGUAAACAUCAUUCAUAUUCUGUAUGAGUAUACAUUUCACACUUUUGACUUUCCUGAUUUUCUUUCCUCUAAU